This is a long non-coding RNA of Vigna angularis (adzuki bean), 602 nucleotides long. RefSeq lists it as uncharacterized. The record is from RefSeq and is a predicted model, not a curated record. Lineage: Eukaryota; Viridiplantae; Streptophyta; Magnoliopsida; Fabales; Fabaceae. The transcript is spliced from 3 exons.
UUCAGACACAGUGUGGUGGAUUUAAUAAUUUUGAAAGUGCAAUUGCAGAUAUUAGGGUUUUUGUUUUCAAAAUUAAAUUAAGGGUGCUGAGAAUCAAAGUUCUAACGUGGUUUGGUAGCGAAAUCUGGAAGAUUGGGAAGAACAUCAGUGACGUCCACUUGAAAUUAGAGGCAUUGAUCUUUGGCAGUCAGAAAAAAUUUCAGAGGACACAGCUUGAAGAAUCUGAUGUGGAAGGUUGUUACUAGUACAUACCCCCAAGCUUGGGAAAGAGAAAUGUUAAAUAUAAAGGAUGUCAAUGUGGAGGCUUACAAAUACCUAAUCGCUAUUCGCCCAAGGUAUUGGUCUAGAUCUAGAUUUACAGGUCGAGCAGUAUCUGCACUAGUAAAUAACAUGAGUGAAGCUUUUAAUAGUGUUAUUGUUGAUGCUAGAGGAAAACCCAUUAUAACCAUGCCAGAGGAAAUUAGAGUUUACCUCAUGAAAAAAAUGGGCAACCAACAAAAUCAAGAUGUGUAAUAUGGACUUUCACAUCUGCCCCAAGAUUAGAAAGAGACUUACAAAAGAAUCAAAUUUAUCAAAAAAUUGGAUCCCAAGGUAAGCAUUUC